UUCUUUGCUGACGAGCGGCGGACGGGUGAGUAAUGCCUGGGAAAUUGCCUUGAUGUGGGGGAUAACCAUUGGAAACGAUGGCUAAUACCGCAUAAUGCCUUCGGGCCAAAGAGGGGGACCUUCGGGCCUCUCGCGUCAAGAUAUGCCCAGGUGAGAUUAGCUUGUUGGUGAGGUAAGAGCUCACCAAGGCGACGAUCUCUAGCUGGUCUGAGAGGAUGAUCAGCCACAUUGGGACUGAGACACGGCCCAAACUCCUACGGGAGGCAGCAGUGGGGAAUAUUGCACAAUGGGCGCAAGCCUGAUGCAGCCAUGCCGCGUGUAUGAAGAAGGCCUUCGGGUUGUAAAGUACUUUCAGCAGUGAGGAAGGGGUGAUGUUUAAUAGACACCAUUCUUGACGUUAGCUGCAGAAGAAGCACCGGCUAACUCCGUGCCAGCAGCCGCGGUAAUACGGAGGGUGCGAGCGUUAAUCGGAAUUACUGGGCGUAAAGCGCAUGCAGGUGGUCUGUUAAGUCAGAUGUGAAAGCCCGAGGCUUAACCUCGGAAUUGCAUUUGAAACUGGCAGGCUAGAGUACUGUAGAGGGGGGUAGAAUUUCAGGUGUAGCGGUGAAAUGCGUAGAGAUCUGAAGGAAUACCAGUGGCGAAGGCGGCCCCCUGGACAGAUACUGACACUCAGAUGCGAAAGCGUGGGGAGCAAACAGGAUUAGAUACCCUGGUAGUCCACGCCGUAAACGAUGUCU
RNAcentral lists this ribosomal RNA (737 nucleotides) under Vibrionaceae bacterium SDX13-3. RNAcentral's name for it is "bacterial SSU rRNA". It matches the Rfam family "Bacterial small subunit ribosomal RNA", at positions 81 to 814 of the family's 1533-position model. Lineage: Bacteria; Pseudomonadati; Pseudomonadota; Gammaproteobacteria; Vibrionales; Vibrionaceae. The record is from RNAcentral.